ACGGAAGGCAGCAGUGGGGAAUAUUGCACAAUGGGCGCAAGCCUGAUGCAGCGACGCCGCGUGAGGGAUGACGGCCUUCGGGUUGUAAACCUCUUUCAGCAGGGAAGAAGCCUUUUGGGGUGACGGUACCUGCAGAAGAAGCACCGGCUAACUACGUGCCAGCAGCCGCGGUAAUACGUAGGGUGCGAGCGUUGUCCGGAAUUAUUGGGCGUAAAGAGCUUGUAGGCGGUUUGUCGCGUCUGCUGUGAAAAUCCGGGGCUCAACCCCGGACUUGCAGUGGGUACGGGCAGACUGGAGUGUGGUAGGGGAGACUGGAAUUCCUGGUGUAGCGGUGGAAUGCGCAGAUAUCAGGAGGAACACCGAUGGCGAAGGCAGGUCUCUGGGCCACUACUGACGCUGAGAAGCGAAAGCAUGGGGAGCGAACAGGAUUAGAUACCCUGGUA
Molecule: ribosomal RNA, 443 nt
Filed under: uncultured Actinomycetales bacterium
Lineage: Bacteria; Bacillati; Actinomycetota; Actinomycetes; Actinomycetales
Description: bacterial SSU rRNA
Rfam family: Bacterial small subunit ribosomal RNA
Source: RNAcentral